GAUGAACGCUGGCGGCGUGCCUAAUACAUGCAAGUCGAGCGAACGGACGAGAAGCUUGCUUCUCUGAUGUUAGCGGCGGACGGGUGAGUAACACGUGGAUAACCUACCUAUAAGACUGGGAUAACUUCGGGAAACCGGAGCUAAUACCGGAUAAUAUUUUGAACCGCAUGGUUCAAAAGUGAAAGACGGUCUUGCUGGCACUUAUAGAUGGAUCCGCGCUGCAUUAGCUAGUUGGUAAGGUAACGGCUUACCAAGGCAACGAUGCAUAGCCGACCUGAGAGGGUGAUCGGCCACACUGGAACUGAGACACGGUCCAGACUCCUACGGGAGGCAGCAGUAGGGAAUCUUCCGCAAAGGGCGAAAGCCUGACGGAGCAACGCCGCGUGAGUGAUGAAGGUCUUCGGAUCGUAAAACUCUGUUAUUAGGGAAGAACAUAUGUGUAAGUAACUGUGCACAUCUUGACGGUACCUAAUCAGAAAGCCACGGCUAACUACGUG
This 497-nucleotide ribosomal RNA is filed under the name uncultured bacterium. Its description in RNAcentral is "partial 16S ribosomal RNA". It matches the Rfam family "Bacterial small subunit ribosomal RNA", at positions 28 to 507 of the family's 1533-position model. The record is from RNAcentral.